This 484-nucleotide ribosomal RNA is filed under the name uncultured bacterium. Its description in RNAcentral is "partial 16S ribosomal RNA". It matches the Rfam family "Bacterial small subunit ribosomal RNA", at positions 30 to 507 of the family's 1533-position model. The record is from RNAcentral.
AUUGAACGCUGGCGGCAUGCUUUACACAUGCAAGUCGAACGGCAGCACGGGCUUCGGCCUGGUGGCGAGUGGCGAACGGGUGAGUAAUAUAUCGGAGCGUACCCAGAAGUGGGGGAUAACGUAGCGAAAGUUACGCUAAUACCGCAUACGAUCUAUGGAUGAAAGCAGGGGACCGCAAGGCCUUGUGCUCCUGGAGCGGCCGAUAUCUGAUUAGCUAGUUGGUGAGGUAAAGGCUCACCAAGGCGACGAUCAGUAGCUGGUCUGAGAGGACGACCAGCCACACUGGAACUGAGACACGGUCCAGACUCCUACGGGAGGCAGCAGUGGGGAAUUUUGGACAAUGGGCGCAAGCCUGAUCCAGCAAUGCCGCGUGAGUGAAGAAGGCCUUCGGGUUGUAAAGCUCUUUUGUCAGGGAAGAAACGGUAGAGGCUAAUAUCCUUUGCUAAUGACGGUACCUGAAGAAUAAGCACCGGCUAACUACGUG